ACGAACGCUGGCAGCGUGGAUUAGGCAUGCAAGUCGAACGGGAAUCUGCGGAUUCAAUCCUUCGGGAGAGAAACCGUGGAGGAGAGUGGCGAAAGGGUGAGUAACGCGUGGGCAAUCUGCCUCUAAGUUCGGAAUAACCUCUCGAAAGGGUGGAUAAUACCGGAUGUGGUGGCUAAUCGAUUGGUUGGUUAAUUAAAGGCGGGGAUUUACUUCGGUAGACCUGUCGCUUAGAGAUGAGCCCGCGUCCCAUCAGCUUGUUGGUAAGGUAACGGCUUACCAAGGCUUACGGGUAGCUGGUCUGAGAGGAUGGUCAGCCACACUGGGACUGAGACACUGCCCAGACUCCUACGGGGGGCUGCAGUCGAGGAUCAUUUACAAUGCGCGAAAGCGUGAUAAUGCGACGCUGCGUGUAGGAUGAAGGCCUUAGGGUCGUAAACUACUGUCAUUCGGGAAAAAGUGUCCUAAGAUUAAUAAUCUCUGGGCUUGAUGGUACCGGAAGAGGAAGCCACGGCUAACUCUGUGCCAGCAGCCGCGGUAAUACAGAGGUGGCGAGCGUUGUUCGGAUUUACUGGGCGUAAAGGGUACGUAGGCGGUACCGUAUGUCGGAUGUGAAAGCCCAUGGCUCAACCAUGGAACUGCAUUCGAAACUACGGAACUAGAGUACAGGAGGGGAGAGCGGAAUUCUUGGUGUAGCGGUGGAAUGCGUUGAUAUCAAGAAGAACACCAGCGGCGAAGGCGGGCUCUCUGGAAUGUUACUGACGCUGAGGUACGAAAGCUAGGGGAGCAAACAGGCUUAGAUACCCUGGUAGUCCUAGCUGUAAACGGUGUGCACUUGGUGUGGGAGGUAUUGACCCCUCCCGUGCCGGAGCUAACGCAUUAAGUGCACCGCCUGGGGAGUACGGCCGCAAGGCUAAAACUCAAAGAAAUUGACGGGGGCCCGCACAAGCGGAGGAGCAUGUGGCUUAAUUCGAUGCAACGCGAAGAACCUUACCAGGGCUUGACAUGCAGCUGCACGCCCGCCGAAAGGCGGGAAGCUUUCGAAGGUGCUGCACAGGUGCUGCAUGGCUGUCGUCAGUUCGUGCCGUGAGGUGUUGGGUUAAGUCCCGCAACGAACGCAACCCCUAUGUUUAGUUGCCACCGCAGGCGUAAGUCUGCGAGCACUCUAGACAGACUGCCCGUACAAGCGGGAGGAAGGUGGGGACGACGUCAAGUCAGUAUGGCCCUUACGCCCUGGGCUGCACACGUGCUACAAUGGCCACUACAAUAGGAUGCGAUACCGCGAGGUGGAGCAAAUCCCCAAAAGUGGCCCCAGUUCGGAUUGGAGUCUGCAACUCGACUCCAUGAAGUUGGAUUCGCUAGUAACGGCGUAUCAGCUACGACGCCGUGAAUACGUUCCCGGGCCUUGUACACACCGCCCGUCACAUCAUGAAAGCCGUCUGCACCCGAAGU
RNAcentral lists this ribosomal RNA (1449 nucleotides) under uncultured prokaryote. Its description in RNAcentral is "partial 16S ribosomal RNA". It matches the Rfam family "Bacterial small subunit ribosomal RNA". The record is from RNAcentral.